UAUCGCGCGUUAGCUUCCCAUUAGGCCUUCUUCUAACCCUAAAUCAAACCCAACCUCUGAGGCGCCGCUUCUCAUCUUCUCCUCUUCCUUUUCUUCUCUAUUUUCUCACCUCUUCUCCUCAGACUCUGUGUUCCUGUCCUCUCUCUCUCUCUCUCUCGUAUUUAUUCUUGAUUCCACGACCUCUAAAAGUUUCAAUAAAACCUCCAGACGAGUGAAGAUCCGCACAACUCUAGAUUAGUAGUUCAUUUUGGAAUCUCAUUACUUGAUUCGAUGUUACCCCUGAUUUUGUUUCUCUUAACUUUUGCCGGUGAUUUCGCUUGUGAAGGCCACCAAAUUUCUCAUUUUCUCUAAAAUCUGGCCUCAAACAACCCUUUCCAUUCCAAACAUGGGCGGGUCAACAGAACUUUGCCGCCUCUUUUAAAACAGAACUCUGCUAGGGUUCACUUUUUUUUUUUUUCUCCUUAGAACUCUGCCGCCUCAGAACUCCUCCUCUCUAGAACGUUUGAUCUCUUCUUCUUUAUUCUCUUUUAUUUUUUCCCCUCUCCUGCAUUUGUCUUCCUUUCUUUUCUAUCUUGCCCUCAUCUCUUCUUUCUUUCCUCCUAUUGCAGGUGGGUCUCAGAAUUUUCUUCAAUUUCUAUAGUGGUCUGCUCCGGCAAGCAAUUAACCCGAAGCAACAAUAAUCUCUGAGCGCAACCACUCUUCAUUCGAUGAAUACAAGUCAGAUACUUGAAAGAGAGAGAGAGACAGGUAUAGGGCGAGCACCUUAGUUUGGUGGAGGAAACGUGUAGAAAUGGAAUGAGGAGGCGAAGGGGAAGAGUUCGGCAUGUUACAAACAAGAGAUAGAGAUCAACAUCGAAAGCUUUCCAGGAUACUUAUUGACCAUUGACAGGAACGUAUAUACAAACUGUGGAUUCGAAAGAACCAACACCAACUAUGUCAGAUUUGAUCUUCAGCAGCAAGGUGUUCGGACUAGAAAGCAACUACCCAACCCUUCACUUCCAAUCAAGCAUGUCUAGCAGCUCGAGGACCUCUUCCUCUGAGUUGGCAGCAUCGCAGAAAUCCAACUCAAUGCCAAAAACAUCGAUGAUCCCUUCAUUAUUGCCAUUAUCAAUAUGCUCGAAUCUCAUAAACAAAAGGGUAGCUAGGUGAAACAUCAAGAUCGGACAGCUAUUAUAUUUCUGUUCAAACAUGGAGUUUCAAAUACUAUGCAUUUUUAGAGCUGCACACCCACCACAGGCUAGCCAACAUCGUGAUACUUGGGAGUGCAUUUCAUGAGAAAGAAUCACCUAGAUUUAGUUGUGGUUGGUUUGUCUAAGGGAAGUUGCGCAUACCAAGGGUGAGGGCAACACCAUUGUUGGCUUUGAACAAGUGCUGAUGGAGCUUGCUCACAUUCAUGAGAAGAUUAAUUGCUUUACUUAGGUCAUUUCAGGGCUCCUGCUGGUGCCAUUGACUCUUGUGCUGACCAUCGUUGUGUUUUGGCAUGUUUAUCUUAUUCUGCAAAACAAGACCACAAUAGAGUACCAUGAAGGUGUGAGAGCUAUGUGGCUUGUUGAAAAAGGAGGUUAUCUGUAUUCACAUCCAUAUGAUCUUGGUGCUUAUGAGAAUAUGAUAUCAGUUUUAGGACCACAUAUCUUUUGCUGGGUAUGUCCCACCUCAGAGCAGAUUGGUUCUGGCCUUCGUUUUCGCGCGGGAGUUGAUAAGUUAGCAGGGAUAUCAUUUUAGACAUGUAGAGCUUGGAGUUUCAAUGAUUUUGUACUGCUGGUAGUAUUGGAGGCAAGGCAACAGGUCCUAUAUCAUUCAUUGAUGAUAAUCAAAUUCUGGUGUCCGCGUGCUUUCUUUUUGGAAAUACAACCAUUAAAAAAGAGUUUGUCUUGUGUAGCUCCUCCUUACAUCCAUGUUGUUGCAGAAGUAGUUCAAAGUUGACUGGGCUUCUGAAGCAGUCAGAUGUAAAAUAGGACCCUCCUUCUUAUGACUUUUUUUUUUCCAAAAGUACAGUCCUCAUGCAAUCAUGUACAAAUGACAGAGUUCUAGGCUAACUCACAGCAACUUCAAGUAGAAGAGAUAGGCCAAAAAUUGUAACUUAAAGAUGUUGUAAUAUUGUGAUUCUCAGGAAAUGUAUGAACCAUAAUUGAUUUAA
Coffea arabica (coffee) is the source of this 2137-nucleotide RNA transcript. It is a transcript of the gene named probable protein S-acyltransferase 16, with no coding region annotated. Lineage: Eukaryota; Viridiplantae; Streptophyta; Magnoliopsida; Gentianales; Rubiaceae. The record is from RefSeq and is a predicted model, not a curated record.